AUUGAACGCUGGCGGCAGGCCUAACACAUGCAAGUCGAGCGAGCGGCGGACGGGUGAGUAAUGUCUGGGAAACUGCCUGAUGGAGGGGGAUAACUACUGGAAAAGGUAGCUAAUACCCCAUACCAUCAGAUGUGCCCAGAUGGGAUUAGCUGGUCGGUGGGGUAACGGCUAACCUCGGCGACGAUCCCUCGCUGGUCGGAGAGGAUGACCAGCCACACUGGACCUGAGACACGUUCCAGACUCCUACGGGAGGCAGCAGUGGGGAAUAUUGCACAAUGGGCGCAAGCCUGAUGCAGCCAUGCCGCGUGGGUGAAGAAGGCCUUCGGGUUGUAAAGCACUUUCAGCGGGGAGGCGUUACCCGCAGAAGAAGCACCGGCUAACUCCGUGCCAGCAGCCGCGGUAAUAC
RNAcentral lists this ribosomal RNA (406 nucleotides) under uncultured bacterium. RNAcentral's name for it is "partial 16S ribosomal RNA". It matches the Rfam family "Bacterial small subunit ribosomal RNA", at positions 30 to 526 of the family's 1533-position model. The record is from RNAcentral.